UGGCUCAGAGGUUAAAGCAUCUGCCUGGAAUGCGGGAGACCCAGGUUCUAUCCCUGG
RNAcentral lists this transfer RNA (57 nucleotides) under Bos indicus (zebu cattle). It matches the Rfam family "tRNA", at positions 8 to 63 of the family's 71-position model. Rfam says of the family: Transfer RNA (tRNA) molecules are approximately 80 nucleotides in length. Their secondary structure includes four short double-helical elements and three loops (D, anti-codon, and T loops). Further hydrogen bonds mediate the characteristic L-shaped molecular structure. tRNAs have two regions of fundamental functional importance: the anti-codon, which is responsible for specific mRNA codon recognition, and the 3' end, to which the tRNAs corresponding amino acid is attached (by aminoacyl-tRNA synthetases). tRNAs cope with the degeneracy of the genetic code in two manners: having more than one tRNA (with a specific anti-codon) for a particular amino acid; and 'wobble' base-pairing, i.e. permitting non-standard base-pairing at the 3rd anti-codon position. Lineage: Eukaryota; Metazoa; Chordata; Mammalia; Artiodactyla; Bovidae. The record is from Rfam by way of RNAcentral.